This 907-nucleotide ribosomal RNA is filed under the name Subulicystidium fusisporum. RNAcentral describes it as "LSU rRNA". It matches the Rfam family "Eukaryotic large subunit ribosomal RNA", at positions 38 to 963 of the family's 3401-position model. Lineage: Eukaryota; Fungi; Basidiomycota; Agaricomycetes; Trechisporales; Hydnodontaceae. The record is from RNAcentral.
GCAUAUCAAUAAGCGGAGGAAAAGAAACUAACAAGGAUUCCCCUAGUAACUGCGAGUGAAGCGGGAAGAGCUCAAAUUUGAAAUCUGGCGGUUCUGCCGUCCGAGUUGUAAUCUGGAGAAGCGUUUUCCGUGCCGGACCGUGUACAAGUCCCUUGGAACAGGGCGUCAUAGAGGGUGAGAAUCCCGUCUUUGACACGGACUCCCGGUGCUCUGUGAUGCGCUCUCGAAGAGUCGAGUUGUUUGGGAAUGCAGCUCAAAAUGGGUGGUAAAUUCCAUCUAAAGCUAAAUAUUGGCGAGAGACCGAUAGCGAACAAGUACCGUGAGGGAAAGAUGAAAAGCACUUUGGAAAGAGAGUAAAACAGUACGUGAAAUUGUUGAAAGGGAAACGCUUGAAGUCAGUCGCGUCUUCUGGAACUCAGCCUUGCUCUGCUUGGCGCACUUUCCAGUUCGACGGGUCAGCAUCGGCUCUGGGGGGCGGACAAAGGCGCGGGGAAGGUGGCAGCUCCGGCUGCGUUAUAGCCCCGCGUUGUACGCGUCCCCCGGGACCGAGGAAUCCGGCGCUCGCGCCUGGGAUGCUGGCGUAAUGGCUUUAAACGACCCGUCUUGAAACACGGACCAAGGAGUGCUACGUGCUCGCGAGUGUUUGGGUGGAAAACCCGAGCGCGCAAUGAAAGUGAAAGUCGAGACCCUUUGCGGGGGCACCGACGCCCGAGCCUGAUGUUUUCGGAAGGCCUUGCGGUAGAGCGAGUAUGUUGCGACCCGAAAGAUGGUGAACUAUUCCUGAGGAGGGCGAAGCCAGAGGAAACUCUGGUGGAGGCUCGUAGCGGUUCUGACGUGCAAAUCGAUCGCAGGACUUGGGUAUAGGGGCGAAAGACUAAUCGAACCAUCUAGUAGCUGGUUCCUGCCG